Esox lucius (northern pike) is the source of this 4951-nucleotide long non-coding RNA. NCBI's taxonomy places the organism in Eukaryota, Metazoa, Chordata, Actinopteri, Esociformes, Esocidae. The record is from Ensembl.
GUGGAUUUGCCAUUUUCAAUUUUGUUAAUUUUAGUAACUUUUGUCCUUCUCUACCGCUAUUUUUAAUAGCUCACAAUCCAUAUGAGCUACAAAUCUACUUGAUUUCAUUUUAAAAUGACAUGUAUUAUUACAACUCUAUUACCUAAUUCACAUGAACUAUUUUUAUUAGCUUCCAAUCCAGAUGACAUGGACCUCGAAACCACUUGCAUUUUGUUCACUUACCCUUCUUGUCACUGACCUUAGAUUUUCCAUUUUUAAUUGCAGGGAAUUUGCAGGAAUGUAUCUUUUUAAACAACUCUUUUUUUUUUUUAAUAGCUCGCUAUCCAUAUUAGCUAGAGAUCUACCAACAAGUAUGGUGUGUUCCUUUAUCACUGUUCUGAAAGGAAAACCUCAGAUUUUUUCCAAAUUCAUAAUAUUGAAUUUAUUUUAAAAUUACACGCAUUAUUACAAGUCCAUUACCUAAUUCAAAUGAACUAUUUUUAAUAGCCUCCAUUCCAGAUGGCAUGGACAUCCUAAAACCACUUGCUUUUGUUUACUGAGUACGCCUCUUAGUUUGCCAUUUAAAAUUUCAGUGAUUUUAUCAGAAUUGAUCCUUCAACACAAUCCUUUUUUAAUAGCUCACUAUCCUUAUUAGCUAGAGAUCUACAAAUAAGUAUGGUGUGUUCUUUUCCCUCUACUUUCACAGGUAAACCUUUACAUUUUUAUACCAAAUAUCGUGACAUUCAAAUUUUUGAAAAACAUUUUGUAAUUUAUUAAAAUGUAUUGUGUGUAAAUUGUUCUCAUUCUUUAAUGCAGGGGUGUCAAACCAGUUCUACGGAGGGCCGAUUGUCUGCAGGGUGGUGCAUAUUGGGCUGGUGUCGCCUUGGGGGAGGUAAUCGGCUUAGAGGAUUUCCUUGUGCCACCACGUUCUGCAACGUCUCUGGCGGCACAGGUGACUUUGACCUGGCCAUGCAUAUGAGUUCAGAAUGGGAGUAUGCUGUCACAAUUGAAGGAAGGCAGGACACGAGGAGCAGAGGUAUAUCAGGGUAAAAUCCUUUUAAUUGUAACAACAAAACAAAAGGAGAGGCAAACCGAGAUGGAAAAUAUAAGGCACUGUUGACAAGGAAGGUAAGUGAACAAAAUGCAAGUGAUUUUAGAUGUCCAUGUCUUCUGGAUUGGAAGAAAAUGUGAAAUAGGUAGAAGAGUUGUAAUUAUGUGUGUAAUUUUUAAAUAAAUUCCAGGUUAUUAAUUUGGAAAGUAUCAGAGGAAUACCUUUCAGAAGAGAGGUAAAGGAUCUCUAGCUCUUAGGGAUAGUGAACUAUUAAAAAAGCUCACAUUCCUGUUAAUUCACUGUAAUCGAAAAUGUCUAAACUAAGGGGUGUACUCUUGACAAGGAUGGUCAGUGAACAAAAUGCGAGUGGUUUUAGAGGUCCAUGUCAUCUGGAUUUGAAACUAUUAAAAAUAGUUAAAAGUUAUGUAAUGAGUAUAAAAUGAAAUACAGAUAAUGAGUAUUGAUAAAAGAGGUGUACCAUUCAGAAGAGAGGUAAAGGAACAGCCCACACUUGUUUGUAGGUCUCUAGCUUAUGUGGAUAUUGAGCUAUUCAGAAUGUAAUUCUGAUAUAAUCACUGAAGUCUAAAAGGGCAAAUCUAAAAGUCAGUGACCAACAUACAAGUGGUUGUAGGUGUACAUGUCACCCAGAGUACCGGAUUACAAGUAACGGAUUACAAAUAAACAGUAACUGUAAUCCGUUAUGUGAUCAACAUAAAUAUUGUAAUCGGAUUACAUAUACUUUUGAAAAUAUGUGUAAUCCGUUAUGUGAUCAACAUAAAUAUUGUAAUCGGAUUACAUAUACUUUUGAAAAUAUGUAUGAUUACUUUUGGAUUACUUCAGUUGAAAAAGAAUAGGCGCGUGAAAUAAUUAUGACACGUUGUAUGUUUGAGUUUAUUAUUUAAUGUUAAAAACAUUAUUUGAACCAAAAUAUGAAUUGCGCUCCUCAGUUGUGUGUGUCAUCAUCAUGCGUGCAAAGGUCGACGCGCAUAACCAGUUUAGUGACGGAGGAAGCGCUAGUUUAAAUUUCUCCAGUUUUGGUUGGUUGGAUGGCUGGUAAAACAGAGUAUAUCUUCAAUUAUAUUAGCCGAAACUAAAUAACAUUCUAUAUGAUAUCUACGCAUAAUUCCCAGAACAAUGACAGGCAAUAUGCCUACCAGGUGUUAUAUCUUUUUCAAGUUUUAAGGUUUAUUUGUGAAAUGCAUCGAACAACACAGCCAGGACGAGUUGCACCAAAUAACUUCUACAGGAAUUGUUUAAUAGAUUAGGCAACUAUUUGUUAGAUAGCUGUAACAUGGCGCUGCCUUCACAAUUAAACAUUAUAUGGAAUUUACCAUGACAUUUGGGGAGAAAAGGUGUGUUGGGAAGCACUCUGCCAAAGGAUGAUUAUUUGACACGGCCACAUUCAGUUAGGCUAUGUGAAUCUGCCUGCUUUGCAUCUCUGAAAAUGUUGUUCAUUGGUUAUCAUUGGCUGCUGACUUCAUUUAUUUUAACCUAAGAGUGCAGGUUUAUAAUCACAGUUUCUUUCUUUCAUUUGCGUUUUGAAAAUCCAUCACUGAUGGCAAUAAUAAUCGCAGGUUACAAUCGCGCAGGUAAAUCUUAUUUCUAUGCGGGUGUUCAUGAUUGCAAAUGUGCAUUCGCGUGCCAGGGGUUUCUGCAAAAAUUUUACAAUGUUGGCGGUGGAGCAAAUCAUCAGACUAAUGCAGAUGUAGUUUACGUGCGAAAAGCUACAGAUAUCUUAAUUUUUAUAUACAACAAUGUCAAUGCCCUUUUCGAGUAAUUUAUUUUACAACAAUGUUUUGAAGCAAUACAUUUUUUUAAUAAAACACAAAUAACACAACAGGCUUAAGCUUCAUUAGAUUUUGGGUUAUGUUCAGAUAGUCAGAUUCUGGAAGAUCAAGGUUUAUUGGAUUAAUUGGAAUUACUGAAUAUCUGACAGACUUUUGGUAAUGUAGAGUUGUAGCCCAAUCAUAUUGAAGUAAAAAGCAGUGGUUUAGAAACCCAUUUCCAAAGGCACUGUAGCCUACACAACCCAUAAGGUAAAAUGUGAAUUCCGUUUUUGGCCAACUAUGUAACAUUGAUUGAUCCCGCAAAAGGUGUUCAGUUGGUUAUAGGCUUUUCCUAUUUGUUUUCCAAUGCCUGUUAAUAUGAAAGUCAUUUAAAAGUAAUUCAAAGUAGUCAGAUAACAUUACUGAGUUUGAGUAAUCAAAACGUUACGUUACUGAUUACAAACGUGGACAAGUAACUUGUAACUGUAACGGAUUGCAUUUAAAGAGUAACCUACCCAACCCUGAUGUCAUCUCUAUAUGAAUCUAUUAAAAAUGAAAUAUAUAAGGUUCAACAAUCAAAAUAUAUCUAGAAAAGUAUAGUUUUGUUUAAUAACACAACAAGUGUCUGUACCUAUGAUUUUCCUUUACAGGGGCAGUUACUAUGAGGUUGACACAAAAUAAAAUAUAUAUUUUUAGUCACAUUGAAUCAGCGGUAUUGCACUUUCAUGACGGUCCCUGAACUACUGAACAGACAGUGUUUAGCGACAUUUUGUCUUCUGCUAAACGAAAAGUUAGAUUUUUGGUAAAAUCAAAGGGUGUACCUUGCUCUCUACCCUAAUCCAAUAGUAUAUAGGUCACUGUCGUCUAUGUACGAUUUUUUUGGAAGAGGUAUUGACGAUCAAACUCUGAAUAUCAAACAUAAAACCAAAUUUACCCCGGUCUCUGACCGAGGAUGAUGAUCGUUAUUUGAUGCAGCCACCUCAACUCCAUACAGAUAGGCCAUGUGAUUCUACUUGCUUUGCAUCUCAGAAAAUUGCGUUCAUUGGUUAUCAUUGGCUACUGACAAUAUCGAAUUAAAGCUAAGCCUGCAGGUGUAUAAUCAAAGUUUUUCUUUCAUUUGCGUUUUGAAAAUCCAUUGCUGGUGGCCCUAAUAAUCGCAGGUUACGUUCGCGCGGUUAAAGGCACCUGCACACGGGCCGCGGUAGCGGUGAAGUUCUCAAAGUUUCAUUUGGAGUAGGGCGAUUGGCGGCUUGCUUUACGGUGGAGGCGCCCAAAAGUUCAUUUCAGUUGAGCGCCCGCCUCUCAUGUCGACCAAUGAGCCGUGUUCAUCUUGUCAACCAAUCAAGCCCUCAUUCAGUGACAACAUCGAUAGGAAUAUAUGAGAGGAAAAAAUAGGGUUCAUAUAUUAUUGUCGGAAUUCCCAUAAUUAUACAAUUUACCUUUGCACUCUCAGGCCUACAGGGACAUAAACCAAAAAAUAUGCAAGGUGAAGGAGCGUUGGUGCAAUUGUGUGCUUAUCAGGUGGGUAUUAGGCUAUAUAUUGUUGACGCAAAAAGAGGAGAGUGGUUUUAUAAUACCGCAGUUUACUAGUUUGACUGGCUAGCUUAGUACGUGCACAGUUAGUGAAGUUGUUAAUUGAAUGUCAAUCGUCAUUAAUAAUACAAUAAUGUCAAUACCAUUUUCGAUAAAUAGCUGUUCAUUUUUCUACAAUGUUUUGAAGCAAUAGAAAACAUGAAUAAAACACAAAAGAAUAGGUUAACACAUCCUUUGAUUUUGGGUUAUGUUCAGAUAACCCUUGAUCUUCCAGAAUCGGACUUUAUUGGAUUAAUUGGAAUGACUGAAUAUCUGAAAGACAUUUAGCCUGUAUUGUUGAGAUGUAGCACAAUCAUAUUGAAGUAGAAAGCAAUGGUUUAGAAACCCUUUCCACCAUAACCCAUAAGGUAAAAUGCAAAUUCAAUUUUUGGCCAGCAAUGUAAACUCUAACAUUGAUUGAUCCCGCAGAAGGUUGGUUAUAGGCUAUUCAUAUUUGUCUUCUAAUGCCUCUGAAUCUUAAAGUAAUCCAAAAGUAACGGAUACAUUUAAAAAGUAACCUUACAUGGUUUAUUAGACAUAAUGAUGGUUUACGUACACAAGUGAAAAUAUUGCAACAUCGCAG